CCAAAUAUCUAGUCUACUCAUCUCCACUUGUCUACAACCUAAAUAAAACAUUUUCACCUUCUAGUAGGGGAGACUGAAAAAUUAAUUAGCACUUCAGAUUAAGUACCGAAAGGGAAUGAUGAAAUAAUAAUGAAAUAACUAUAAAGCCCCCAUAUAGCAAAGUUUACUACUUGUACCUUUUGCAUCAUGGUCAAGCCAGUUCAAUUAAGCGAAAAGCAAAUUUUAGUUUAACCUCCCGAAACUGGGUGAGCUACUUCAAAAUAGUCUUUAGGACGAACCCGUCCCUGUUGCAAAAGGGUGGGAAAAUUUUUUAGUAGCAGUGAAAAGCUUAUCGGACCCAGAGAUAGCUGGUUAUCCAAGAAAAGAAUUUAAGUUCUACCUUAAGUUUAUUUAUAAAUCUAAAUAAAACAUAAAACUUAAGAGCUAUUCAAAUAAGGUACAGCUUAUUUGAUCAAGGACACAGCCUCAUACAUAGGGUAACAUCUUAAACACUCAUAAGUAGGCCUGAAAGCAGCC
RNAcentral lists this ribosomal RNA (516 nucleotides) under Cornufer neckeri (Necker's wrinkled ground frog). Its description in RNAcentral is "Platymantis neckeri (Necker's wrinkled ground frog) partial 16S ribosomal RNA". The stretch from base 156 to 516 matches the Rfam family "Bacterial large subunit ribosomal RNA", at positions 569 to 1077 of the family's 2925-position model. The record is from RNAcentral. Lineage: Eukaryota; Metazoa; Chordata; Amphibia; Anura; Ceratobatrachidae.